CCGGAGGGUCCGAACUGCCUCAGCGGAGAAAGGGGACAUAGUGUGCUGGCGGGCGCUGGCUGUUGGCGUUAGAGCUCCGGCUGUGGCUCAGUCUGGGGCGCGGUUCUUGCCAACACACCAUGUCCAGAGACAGCUGACAAAAAAACUAAAUUGAAACCAGCUCUGGAUGGGAUAACAACACAGGGUCAUACUUACUUUACGGCAGGCACGUUAUUCGCCUUCUUACUCGCACUUACCGCUAUGGAUUCGCUCUUCAGGGGGCACUGAGACAUCCUACAGCGCCCUGGACGGCCCACCCCAACCAUGGUAUCCGUUGUCCAACAGUUUUGGAUACCCCAGAAUCGUCUCCCCGUUCCCCCUCUACAGCAUGGUGCACUACCCCUUCCUUACCUUAAUGAUCUACUCUUCCAUAGCGAAAUGAGAAUACUAAGCCAAGUGGAAUUUCAUUUCUACGUUAUAAAAGAAAAGUGCCUUUGUUGCGUCUGUCAGAUCGCCGGACUGGAAUGCUUCGACGACGGCUCCCCUGGAUAGCAAGACAAUUUGGUAGCGGAGGUGCCCUGGAUUUCCCUUUUUAUGUUCUUGGUAAGUAUGUAUAGGUAGUUCGUGUAAUGUCUUACCCUCAAUAAAAAUAUAUAAUUUCUUGUUUUUCUUUUUUUUUCUUUUAGCCAACCUGCAGGGACAACAUUAAACGACCAAAGGGUCUUUUAUUUAAAGUGUAUUCCUAGUGCCCUAGAAUGAGCUCACCCUACUUCCUAGGUUGUAUCGUCCGUUCAAUCACCGGACUGCAGAUAUGAAACCCAAUGUCUACCCUGUUUGCUGCCUAAGUUAUUCUGUUUUCUUUUUUUUUUUUAUUUCUUAUAUUUUUAUUCCAGGAUGUGUGUCAAGCUAAGUUUCUCUGUGUAUCGUUCUAAGUAUUGAACAUAUAAAAAGGAGCAUACAUCGGCCUACCUUGGCACCUACGGGCUGCUGGUGCAAAAUUCCCUCGGGGACACUGGAGCAGAUGGCGGCGGUGGAACCAAUGAUGAAGCUGGAGAUGCUGAUGAGAUGAUGAUGUUGUUGAGGAUGGAAAUGUUGACGUUGCCGUGGAUGACGAUGGUUAAAAUUGCAGUAGAGGUGGGUAUUUAUUAUUUGACAAAAAGUUUUUGUUGUUCUGUUUAGUCUUUGCUAUGUUUUAUUCGUGGCUCAAAUUAACGUUCUUUUUCAAAGCUUUUUAUAUUUCACAGGAUCUUUUUUCUUUAGCAUUAAUCAGCACUAAUAAGUUUAUUUAGCUUUAAGUUGAUCUAAAGUAACUUCAGCUUUUUUACUACAAAAGCUAGUCUUUAUUCCUUUCACAAAAAAAAGGAACAUUUAUUUGCUUUUAAAUAAAAAACUUUAUGCCUUUGGCAUCACAUAUUCUGAUUUGUUUUUUUUUUCUUUUGUUUGUCAAGCUCACAAUCAAAGGUUUGUAGAACACAACAUAACCUUUUCUUUUUUUUAAAGUUUUCUCUCUUUUUGAAACACCACUUUCAACACUCUUGAGUACACCACCUCUUACUGCUUGCACGGCUCCAUCCAAAAAGAACUCGUCAUCUUCCCUUUACUGUCCAUCAUGGUUCCCCCAAGCCAUCAUGUCCACCGAGGAACCAUCAUAAAA
This is a long non-coding RNA of Stomoxys calcitrans (stable fly), 1633 nucleotides long. RefSeq lists it as uncharacterized. The transcript has 2 exons. Lineage: Eukaryota; Metazoa; Arthropoda; Insecta; Diptera; Muscidae. The record is from RefSeq and is a predicted model, not a curated record.